GACGAACGCUGGCGGCGUGCUUAACGCAUGCAGGUCGAACGGAAAGGCCCUGCUUUUGUGGGGUGCUCGAGUGGCGAACGGGUGAGUAACACGUGAGUAACCUGCCCUUGACUUUGGGAUAACUUCAGGAAACUGGGGCUAAUACCGGAUAGGAGCUCCUGCUGCAUGGUGGGGGUUGGAAAGUUUCGGCGGUUGGGGAUGGACUCGCGGCUUAUCAGCUUGUUGGUGGGGUAGUGGCUUACCAAGGCUUUGACGGGUAGCCGGCCUGAGAGGGUGACCGGCCACAUUGGGACUGAGAUACGGCCCAGACUCCUACGGGAGGCAGCAGUGGGGAAUAUUGCACAAUGGGCGGAAGCCUGAUGCAGCAACGCCGCGUGCGGGAUGACGGCCUUCGGGUUGUAAACCGCUUUCGCCUGUGACGAAGCGUGAGUGACGGUAAUGGGUAAAGAAGCACCGGCUAACUACGUG
Molecule: ribosomal RNA, 468 nt
Filed under: uncultured bacterium
Lineage: Bacteria
Description: partial 16S ribosomal RNA
Rfam family: Bacterial small subunit ribosomal RNA
Source: RNAcentral